CCCUUAGAUGCUCUGGGCUGCACGCGCGCUACACUGAUGCGAUCAACAAGUUUUUCCUAUGUCGAUAGACACGGGUAAUCUUUUGAACUCGCAUCGUGAUGGGGAUAGAUUAUUGUAAUUAUUAAUCUUCAACGAGGAAUUCCUAGUAGGUGCAAAUCAUCAGUUUGCAUCGAUUACGUCCCUGCCCUUUGUACACACCGCCCGUCGCUGCUACCGAUUGGUUGAUCUGGUGAAUUAUUCGGACUGCCGGCUGAAGGGGUUUCCUCAUCUGCCAGCGGAAAGUCUUGUUAACCCUAUCAACUAGAGGAAGCAGAAGUCGUAACA
RNAcentral lists this ribosomal RNA (324 nucleotides) under uncultured eukaryote. RNAcentral's name for it is "partial 18S ribosomal RNA". It matches the Rfam family "Eukaryotic small subunit ribosomal RNA", at positions 1470 to 1796 of the family's 1831-position model. The record is from RNAcentral.